AGAGUUUGAUCCUGGCUCAGAACGAACUCUGGUAGCGUGGAUUAGGCAUGCAAGUCGAACGGGAUCAACCGAGUAGCAAUACCUGGUUGUGAGAGUGGCGGAUUGGGGAGGAACACGUGAACAACCUGCCCUUGAGUUCGGGAAAACCAUUGGAAACGAUGGCUAAUACCGGAUGUGGCGUCUGAGGACAUCCUCGGAACGCUAAAGGGGGCCGCAAGGCUCCCGCUCAUCGAGGGGUUCGCGCACCAUCAGCUUGUUGGCGGGGUAACGGCCCACCAAGGCCUACGGUUAGCUGGUCUGAGAGGAUGACCAGCCCCACUGGGACUGAGAUACUGCCCAGACUCCUACGGGAGGCUGCAGUCGAGGAUCAUUUGCAAUGGGCGAAAGCCUGACAAUGCGACGCUGCGUGGAGGAUGAAGGCCUUCGGGUUGUAAACUCCUGUCAUAGGGGAACAGGCGAUCUUACCUAAUACGUAAGUGAGUUGAGUGUACCCUAAGAGGAAUUGGCGGCUAACUCUGUGCCAGCAGCCGCGGUAAUACAGAGGCCAAGAGCGUUGUUCGGAUUUACUGGGCGUAAAGGGCGCGUAGGCGGUCUUGCGUGUCAAGUGUGAAAUCUCCGGGCUCAACCCGGAAAGUGCGCUUGAAACUACAGGACUCGAGUCUGGGAGAGGGAAUCGGAAUGCAGGGUGUAGCGGUGAAAUGCGUUGAUAUCCUGCAGAACACCGGAGGCGAAGGCGGAUUCCUUGAACAGUACUGACGCUGAGGCGCGAAAGCGUGGGUAGCAAACAGGAUUAGAUACCCUGGUAGUCCACGCCGUAAACGAUGAGUACUAGGUGUAGGAGGUAUCGACCCCUUCUGUGCCGGAGUUAACACAAUAAGUACUCCACCUGGGAAGUACGAUCGCAAGAUUGAAACUCAAAGGAAUUGACGGGGGCCCGCACAAGCAGUGGAGUAUGUGGUUUAAUUCGAAGCAACGCGAAGAACCUUACCAGGACUUGACAUCCUCGGAAUCCUGUAGAGAUACGGGAGUGCCUUCGGGAAUCGAGAGACAGGUGGUGCAUGGUUGUCGUCAGCUCGUGUCGUGAGAUGUUGGGUUAAGUCCCGCAACGAGCGCAACCCUUGUUGCCGGUUGCUAACAUUUAGUUGAGCACUCCGGCGAGACUGCCGGCGAUAAGUCGGAGGAAGGUGGGGACGACGUCAAAUCAUCAUGCCCCUUAUGUCCUGGGCUACACACGUACUACAAUGGCUGAAAACAGAGGGAAGCGAAAUCGCGAGGUUGAGCAAAUCCCGAAAAACAGUCUUAGUUCAGAUUGCAGGCUGAAACUCGCCUGCAUGAAGGCGGAAUUGCUAGUAAUCGCGGAUCAGAAUGCCGCGGUGAAUACGUUCCCGGGCCUUGCACUCAACGCCCGUCA
Molecule: ribosomal RNA, 1411 nt
Filed under: uncultured bacterium
Lineage: Bacteria
Description: partial 16S ribosomal RNA
Rfam family: Bacterial small subunit ribosomal RNA
Source: RNAcentral